RNAcentral lists this transfer RNA (68 nucleotides) under Orcula dolium. RNAcentral describes it as "tRNA-Ser". The record is from RNAcentral. Lineage: Eukaryota; Metazoa; Mollusca; Gastropoda; Stylommatophora; Orculidae.
GUUUAGUUUUUUAUAUUAUGAAGGAUUUUGAAAAUCUUUUCCGGUAAGUAGAUUUUUACCAUUUAGUG